This 485-nucleotide ribosomal RNA is filed under the name Millettia leptobotrya. Its description in RNAcentral is "eukaryotic LSU rRNA". The stretch from base 5 to 160 matches the Rfam family "5.8S ribosomal RNA". Lineage: Eukaryota; Viridiplantae; Streptophyta; Magnoliopsida; Fabales; Fabaceae. The record is from RNAcentral.
AAAUGACUCUCGGCAACGGAUAUCUCGGCUCUUGCAUCGAUGAAGAACGUAGCGAAAUGCGAUACUUGGUGUGAAUUGCAGAAUCCCGUGAACCAUCGAGUCUUUGAACGCAAGUUGCGCCCGAAGCCAUUAGGUUGAGGGCACGCCUGCCUGGGUGUCACACAUCGUUGCCCCAAUGCCAAUGCCUCUCACGGGGUUAGAGCAGGGCGAAUGCUGACUUCCCGCGAGCACUGCCUCGUGGUUGGUUGAAAAAUGAGUCCUCGGCGGAAUGCCCCAUGAUAAAUGGUGGUUGAGUAAUGCUCGAGACCAAUCAUGCAUGGCUUCCCAUCGGACACGGACUGCGUGACCCUUUCGUUCUUCUGAACGCUCACAAUGAGACCUCAGGUCAGGCGGGGCUACCCGCUGAGUUUAAGCAUAUCAAUAAGCGGAGGAAAAGAAACUAACAAGGAUUCCCCUAGUAACGGCGAGCGAACCGGGAAGAGCCC